GGCACGGUGAUGCAGUGGGUAGCACUGUCACCUCACAGCAACAGCCCUGGGUUCGAAUCCGGCCUGGGCCU
Molecule: transfer RNA, 71 nt
Filed under: Anguilla anguilla (European eel)
Lineage: Eukaryota; Metazoa; Chordata; Actinopteri; Anguilliformes; Anguillidae
Description: tRNA-OTHER
Source: RNAcentral